Molecule: ribosomal RNA, 250 nt
Filed under: uncultured prokaryote
Description: partial 16S ribosomal RNA
Rfam family: Bacterial small subunit ribosomal RNA
Source: RNAcentral
UACGUAGGGGGCGAGCGUUAUCCGGAUUUAUUGGGCGUAAAGCGUUCGUAGGCGGUUUGUUAAGUCUGUGAUUUAAGGCCGGAGCUUAACUCCGUGUUUGUUGCGGAAACUGGCAAACUUGAGUGUGGUAGAGGCAAGUGGAAUUUCUAGUGUAGCGGUUAAAUGCGUAGAUAUUAGAAGGAACACCAGUGGCGAAGGCGGCUUGCUGGGCCAUUACUGACGCUGAGGAACGAAAGCGUGGGGAGCAAAU